This 459-nucleotide ribosomal RNA is filed under the name uncultured bacterium. RNAcentral describes it as "partial 16S ribosomal RNA". It matches the Rfam family "Bacterial small subunit ribosomal RNA", at positions 338 to 795 of the family's 1533-position model. The record is from RNAcentral.
CCUACGGGAGGCAGCAGUGAGGAAUAUUGGUCAAUGGCCGGAAGGCUGAACCAGCCAAGCCGCGUGAAGGACGAAGGUGCCAAGCAUUGUAAACUUCUUUUGUCAAGGGACAAAAUCAGGUUCGAGUGCCUGACCGAGGGUACUUGAAGAAAAAGCAUCGGCUAACUCCGUGCCAGCAGCCGCGGUAAUACGGAGGAUGCGAGCGUUAUCCGGAUUUAUUGGGUUUAAAGGGUGCGUGGGCGGGCUGUUAAGUUAGCGGUAAAAGCCCGGGGCUAAACUCCGAAGGGCCGUUGCAACUGGCUGUCUAGAGAUGUCGAGAGGUAUGCGGAAUGCGCGGUGUAGCGGUGAAAUGCUUAGAGAUUGCGCAGAACUCCGAUUGCGAAGGCAGCAUACCGGCGGCGAUCUGACGCUGAGGCACGAAAGCGUGGGUAUCGAACAGGAUUAGAUACCCCGGUAGUC